Mauremys reevesii (Reeves's turtle) is the source of this 333-nucleotide long non-coding RNA. RefSeq lists it as uncharacterized. The record is from RefSeq and is a predicted model, not a curated record. NCBI's taxonomy places the organism in Eukaryota, Metazoa, Chordata, Testudines, Geoemydidae. The transcript is spliced from 3 exons.
ACCUGCAUCUGAAGAUUAAAAGGAAAAACUCAACUAGUGUUGGUGUUUUAGUGUUGCUAGUGAUCAAUGCAUCAGACCUUAUAUCCUGAGUGAGAGCUUAAAAGCAUGAAGAGCGUAAUUUGCAGGUAGAAUUAAGUCCCUGCCCAAAUUGAAUAUUCAUCAGGAAGGAGUGAUCUGCACACAUGAAAUUCUAGGAGAUCAAAAACCUGAUAUUUUUGGCAAAGCAAGCACUUCAGAAGGUUGCAGCCUACAGGGAGGCUGACUGCCUGCCCCUCGGUGCUAGCGGACGAAAAUUAGAAAGGGAAACAGAAGACUCAUGUUUCAUUGCCCAAG